This 514-nucleotide long non-coding RNA is filed under the name Ricinus communis (castor bean). Its description in RNAcentral is "long non-coding RNA (RCOM_LNC002882)". Lineage: Eukaryota; Viridiplantae; Streptophyta; Magnoliopsida; Malpighiales; Euphorbiaceae. The record is from RNAcentral.
CCGCCUAAUAAGUAAUUUGCACGCAAGAUAAAAGCAUCUGGGAACCCAUAUAUUUUUCAAAAUAAUCCUUUCAAAGCAUAAGAAUGUAAUACAUGUGCGCGCAUCUGAAUGCAUAAACCUUAAGGAUGUAAGGAAAAUGCCAGAAUCUCAGCACCCAGAAAUCUUUAUUGGCAACGUACAGCACUGAAAAUGCUAUUGAAUAUGCAAUCCAGAGACUCUAAUUUGUUGCCUCUCUACUUUCUGCAUGAAUCUUUCCUUUUUUUUUUAUCAAAAACAAGAGUACGAAUUUUAUGUCAUAAUUAUCAAAACCCAGAAACAAAAGAGAGCAAAGAUCUAAUCUUUCAUAAUAAAAACAAAAAGAUCCAAUCUUUUAUUCAUCACCAAAGCCUCUCUGGAUCUAAACCAAAAGUUUAGAAAAGAGGCAAGCAAGUGUUUACAUGCAUUUGUAUGUAUAUGUUUUAAUGAAAUAUAAGCGAUAGAGAGUUAUGCGAGUGGCGGCGAAGGAAGAGAUGGG